This 4703-nucleotide long non-coding RNA is filed under the name Pelobates cultripes (western spadefoot toad). Lineage: Eukaryota; Metazoa; Chordata; Amphibia; Anura; Pelobatidae. The record is from RNAcentral.
CUGCUUUUCUGGUUUACUCGACAAAUUCACUGAGAAUAACUAGGACUGAAACAGGUACUUGUAUAUGAAGUCCUUGAUGUGUCCAUAAUGCCUCCCUAAUCUAGAUUUUGGGAGGUUACUGAAAUAGAUGUAUGUAUGUGUCUAGUUAACAAAUCGCUUAAUAUUUUAGGUGUCUAAAUGGUGGAACUGUCUAUUCUACUCCUGUAAAGUGUUUCCCUUCAUGCUAUAAGCAUCAAGGUUUGUUUUUUUUUGGAGGGGGGGGGAGUCUCCUAAGGAGGUUUUUGUGGGGGGAGGGUGAAUGUAUUUGUGAAUCAUUUUGUUUUCCUCCAGCUUUAUUAUCCAAAUUGAAAAAUAAAAACCAAAUUGUGCCUCCUAACGUAUUCUCUCUCCUGUCCCUUGGUAGGAUGCUGGUGGACUGUGUUCCCUUGGUGGAGGUUGAGGACAUGAUGAUCAUGGGAAAGAGGCCGGAUUCAAAGUGUGUCUUCACCUACGUCCAGUCCUUGUACAACCACCUUCGGCGGCACGAGAUGCGUAUGCGAAAUAAGGAAUUUUAAUAAAUCCUUCUUCCUGUUUUACCCUGACACAGCACUAUCUGACUAGCACUUGCAGUAAUACUGCAUGUCUUCACAUUCUGUAAAUCACAAAAAACGGACGCUUCCAGGAAUGAAAUUGUAGCAUGAAACAUUUGAACCCUAGAAGUUUACUGACUGUACAUUUUUUCUAUGUUCUCUUUGCUACAUCUAACAUGGUCUCCUGCUUGCAACACGUUGUCCUGGAGGAGAUCUCUGCAAUACAAUGCUGUGCAAUGUGUUUGAAGUCCUGUCGUAGCGCAACGGUCAGGUUAACUAGUGCUGUGCCAGAGGAUCCUGUUAUUGCCUCAAAUGCCUUCCCCUCCCUCCCACAAAUUAAUAUAUUUAGAUAUUAUAAUUAUUAAAUUGCAUCAGGUAAAUCCUGGCCCUUAAAAUUUCACAGCCACAAGCUUUACAAAGGACAGCGACAAAGAUCUCAAGUUCUGGGUUUCUUUAGGUUCCACUUCCAACAAACACAUCAAUGCUUCAGUUUCUUCAGCAAAGCUGUGUUGCUUUUUGCAAAGUAUUUUAAUGGACCAUCUAAGCAAAUAUAGUGUGGGUUUAUUAUCAUUGCAAUGUAUGUAUAAUCGCGCCCAUCACAUUUUAUUAGUUGGGUUUUUUUUGUGCACAGUUGCAAGUUGCAGUGUGACAUUUUUAGUUGUAAAAUUAUCAAACUAAUGCUCAGAGGGACACAGCUUGCUUAUCCUGCAGACCGUAAUAAGUUGCACAUCCAUAGGACCCAUUAAGUGGGAGAACAUCUAGUUUGUGUUAAUACAGGUUUUAAAAUGAGUUCGGGCAUAUUUUAACACUAAUAGACAAAAAAAGAUUGUGUGUUUAUUGCACUUUUAAAAAUACAAUUUACUCCUUUCUUACAAUUUUAUUGUCAUUUGGGUUUCUGUUAUUCAUCUAUAACAGAGGGCAUCAGAACUGAGACACUUUGCAAAUAAUAUAGUACAAUUUGUACUCUUCUAUAAACCAGUCUAGGAAUUUUGACAUCAUGGUAUAUAAUAAGAAAAAAAACUUUCGGCUAAUACUGGCUGUGAUAAUAGUUGAUCAUCAGAAAUGUCUGUUACACAAAUCAUUACAUACAAGGAGAUGGCUUUACGUAAGUUCUGAUGGCAGUAAAGGAUGUCCACUACCAUAUUACCUUAAGUGGCUGAAGUAUAGAGUAGAUGUAUGUUCAUGGGUUGCAUAAGCACACUUUAUAAGAAUUGUUAGACCAUAUGUAUAAGAGGGAAUCUCAAUCUCUCACCACAAAAAAAUGUUGGCGCAGUUCCUAGAACAGAAUAAACGUCUUUGUAUGUUGUAAUAGCAAAAUUGCUCCCAAAUGCAUAGACCAUAGAUUGAAUGGGUUUUAAUUCGCCUCUAAUAUGCUCCAUGUUGACAAGACACGCAGUGCAUGGAAUCAAAGGUAUGUGUAAGAUUAGAUUCAAAAGUAAGUACAUAACAAAUGAGUGCUUGCACAUACUUUCUUUCUUUUUUGUAUAUCCUUCAUUAUAGAAAAAGUGAAAGGAUCACAAUGAAUCAAAGAUGGCCAAAACUUAAAAUUUCCAUAUAUUUUAUUGAACGAAAAUCUUUGUAACAUAUGUAGGUAUGGCUGAUUUAUUUAACCCUAUUGGUAUUCAUGAGUGAGAGUUGGAAUAUUGCUAUUCAUAUACCACACUGUAAUAAGAACUUAUACCAAAUCAUUGGGUUUUUAUUAAUGGUAUACCAUUAUGCCAAACAGUGUGUGAAUGUAGUCCAUGCAUAACUUGUACUUGCAUCAAACAAAUAGAUCCAGAGGAAGUGUUGUUGGCCGUAUAGGAAUGUUAGAUAAAAUGGUGAAUGAUUUAUUGUAUACUAAAUACAUUCAAAUCUUGCAAAGUAGAUGCAAGCAAUACAUUUUUAAAUAUUGUUUAAAGAAGACCAUUCUCUCCAAUAUGGGCUGCUAACAUUUGAAUCCGGAUUUUCAUUUUUUUUUUAAUUCACUAUUCAUUUAAUCCUAAGGAUGCCAAAUGUGUAGUGAGGAGUGCUCAAUUAUGGAGUAAAUGAUUUCAAACACAGGGCAAAACAUUUUUUUUAUUCCAAAUGUUCAAGGUUGUAGCUCCAGAGCCAAUUGAAAGUCUAUACAAUAAGCACAAUUUGACCAUAAAAGCUACAUUCUAGGCACUAUAACCAUUUCAUAUCAUUAAAGUGGCCCCUAGCAUCACCCCUUCAUUCAAUGUUAAACCAUUUUAGAUUGGUUCAAGACUGAAUUUAGAAUCUCUGGCAGCCCACCGCCUGACCUCCUCUGGGCUAAGGCAGAGUUUACACUCUUCCUUAGUCAUACUAAUCAGAUCAGGAGCAAUCAGCUGACACUCUGCUAAUCACACAGUCCAUUGCUGUUCAGGCUAAUGCUUCCUCAUUAGACUGAGCAGAACAGAGUGGGUAAAAUGCCAGAUCUCCCCGUUUAACUUUAAAGCAUUAAAAAAAUAGGGACUCUGUGUCCUAUAACCUCAUCAAUAAGCUGAAUUGGUUACAGUGCCUAACACUUCUUUAUAAAAGUGUUUGCUUACUUGCCAAGUAGAGGCUAGCUAAUGUUAAGCAAAUCAGCCAUUCCGCUUCAGAUCUCUUGGAAACUGAUUAUGAUGUUACAGACCAUUUUUUUCCCAGUAAAAUUCAUUUUAAUCUGCAAUGAUUUAACCUCAGCAUGCAAACUGAGAAUUUCCUAUUGCAGAUUUUCUUUGACUGCUACCAUAGUAAUGCUGUAGACCAUUCUUUAUUAUUGACCGACAGGGGCACCACAUAAUGUGGUAAUCUGGCAGUGGGCAUUUUCAAGAACAUUAACAUAAAGAGCAUUUACAGCCAGCCCAACCCACUGGUGCCUUUAAAUGUAGAACAGUACAGUUAUUCUUGCAUCAUAAUAAACCUGCUCCAGUGAGUGCCUUGUUACUUAACAAUUUCAGCAUUUUAAAUGAAAUGUCCUCCUUUGUUUUUCCUUACUUUUGAAAUCCUUCAUUUUCUUAUGUUGCAUAUUACAUACAUAACCAUGUUCCCUGUGUUAAUAACGUGCAAUGGGUCUUUUUGUUUACAAUAGUGCCACAUUUCCUGCCGAAUUUUGCGUUUAACGUACACAGGUAUUCUGUUUAUUCUCGAAGGUGAUUGUUUGAAACACAGCACUGUAUGCCAUAACUGGUCCAACAGUGCCUUUAGAAAUACAACUUGGGUGUAUUUGUGAGUGAGGGCAUUGCAGCAUAAAAGAACUGAAGCUUCCAAAUUGGAUCUGGGUUAAACAUAAUUUUAUGUUGGAACCUCUUAUAGUGCCCCUGGCAUGAAAGAAAAAAAAGCGUGCCACAAUUUUUAGAAUAACAAUCUUUCCACACAUUGACCACCUUCUGCGUUACGGAUUAUAGGAUGCAGUAUGUGAUACUGCUUGUUUGUUUAUUGAACCACCUUGGAACAAUGGGUAGCAAGCAAUGUCCUUGUAUCUUUUGAUUUGCAUGGUUUUUUGCUAUUCUUCCUGUUAAAAUGGAUAGAUUGGAUUUUACCUGCCCGAAGCUAACCAUGUCUACUUCAAAAAAAAAAACCAACAUCAUAAUUUUGUGACACAAUAAAAUGUUUGAACUUGCAUAAAAUUUCAUGCUAAAAUUCAACUUGUGUGACACGGUCAAUGUUAAAACGCCUUUGUAUGCACAUAUGUACACGUAAUGUGUGGGUUUUUUUACAUGUAUAGACAUACGCACUUAUUUAAGUGUUUGUGUGUAUAUUCCUGUUUGGUUUUUUUUAAUUUAUCUGGUAACUUUCUUGUCAAUCCAGUACCCAUAUUGAUUAUUAUUUUUAAGUAUUUUUCCCUUACAUACCAGCUAAUGACUUUUAAAGCAGAUGUGUUUUUUUUUUUUUACUGGUGGCAAAACAUUCAGGAGGUGUUUAAUAGAUGUGUGCUUCUGGAUGGAAGCAGGCCUUUUAAAUUUGUACAAUACUCAUUAGCUGCUUGGCUGCUGGAAGUAUCUGUUUUUCAGUGCUUUGCAGGCCUGUCUGGUAUAGAGUAUGGAUGCAUUACUCACGCAGUUCUACUUGCUUUUUUACCAGAAAGCUUUGAUCACUCUACAGACACAGCUUUUAUGUCACAUUAUUUUUGUACACCAGUGUGUGCUGUCAUUUUAAUAAAGAUUAUAU